UGAAGUCAGGUUUCCACCACCAGUCU
RNAcentral lists this small RNA (26 nucleotides) under Bombyx mori (domestic silkworm). Its description in RNAcentral is "ovarian small RNA-30999". Lineage: Eukaryota; Metazoa; Arthropoda; Insecta; Lepidoptera; Bombycidae. The record is from RNAcentral.